This 27-nucleotide small RNA is filed under the name Bombyx mori (domestic silkworm). RNAcentral's name for it is "ovarian small RNA-15492". The record is from RNAcentral. Lineage: Eukaryota; Metazoa; Arthropoda; Insecta; Lepidoptera; Bombycidae.
GACCGAAUUUACAGCAUCCAAAGCAUU